GACGCUGGUUCGAAAGACGGGAUCCUGGGAACCCCAGCGCGU
RNAcentral lists this ribosomal RNA (42 nucleotides) under Procris wightiana. RNAcentral describes it as "partial 28S ribosomal RNA". Lineage: Eukaryota; Viridiplantae; Streptophyta; Magnoliopsida; Rosales; Urticaceae. The record is from RNAcentral.